UAGGGAAUCUUCCGCAAUGGGCGAACGCCUGACGGAGCAACGCCGCGUGAGUGAUGAAGGUCUUCGGAUCGUAAAACUCUGUUAUUAGGGAAGAACAAAUGUGUAAGUAACUAUGCACGUCUUGACGGUACCUAAUCAGAAAGCCACGGCUAACUACGUGCCAGCAGCCGCGGUAAUACGUAGGUGGCAAGCGUUAUCCGGAAUUAUUGGGCGUAAAGCGCGCGUAGGCGGUUUUUUAAGUCUGAUGUGAAAGCCCACGGCUCAACCGUGGAGGGUCAUUGGAAACUGGAAAACUUGAGUGCAGAAGAGGAAAGUGGAAUUCCAUGUGUAGCGGUGAAAUGCGCAGAGAUAUGGAGGAACACCAGUGGCGAAGGCGACUUUCUGGUCUGUAACUGACGCUGAUGUGCGAAAGCGUGGGGAUCAAACAGG
Molecule: ribosomal RNA, 429 nt
Filed under: Actinomycetes bacterium
Lineage: Bacteria; Bacillati; Actinomycetota; Actinomycetes
Description: Actinobacteria bacterium partial 16S ribosomal RNA
Rfam family: Bacterial small subunit ribosomal RNA
Source: RNAcentral